GAGGCUGUAACUCAGUGGUAGAGUGCUUGCCUCACACACGUGAGGCCCUGGGUUCAAACCUCAGCAUCA
RNAcentral lists this transfer RNA (69 nucleotides) under Ictidomys tridecemlineatus (thirteen-lined ground squirrel). RNAcentral describes it as "Spermophilus tridecemlineatus (thirteen-lined ground squirrel) tRNA". It matches the Rfam family "tRNA". Rfam says of the family: Transfer RNA (tRNA) molecules are approximately 80 nucleotides in length. Their secondary structure includes four short double-helical elements and three loops (D, anti-codon, and T loops). The record is from Rfam by way of RNAcentral. Lineage: Eukaryota; Metazoa; Chordata; Mammalia; Rodentia; Sciuridae.